GACGAACGUUGGCGGCGUGCUUAAUGCAUGCAAGUCAACUGAAGCAGUGGUAGCAAUCUCGCUGUGGAGGUGGCGCACGGGUGAGUAACACGUAGGUAAUCUGCCUUCAGGUCUGGCAUAACUCCGGGAAACCGGGGCUAAUAGCAGAUGAUGCAGCGGCUCGACAUCGAGACAGUUGUUAAAGCUAUGGCGCCUGAAGAUGAGCCUGCGUCUGAUUAGCUAGUUGGCGGGGUAACGGCCCACCAAGGCAACGAUCAGUAGCUGGUCUGAGAGGAUGAUCAGCCACACUGGAACUGAGACACGGUCCAGACUCCUACGGGAGGCAGCAGUAAGGAAUAUUGCUCAAUGGGAGAAAUCCUGAAGCAGCAACGCCGCGUGAGGGACGAAGGGCUUUUGCUUGUAAACCUCUGUAGUGAGAGAAAAAAAUCCCAAUCUUUGGGACAUGAUGGUAGCUCAAAAGUAAGCCCCGGCUAACUACGUG
Molecule: ribosomal RNA, 481 nt
Filed under: uncultured bacterium
Lineage: Bacteria
Description: partial 16S ribosomal RNA
Rfam family: Bacterial small subunit ribosomal RNA
Source: RNAcentral